GCAAGUCGAGCGAACAGAUAAGGAGCUUGCUCCUUUGACGUUAGCGGCGGACGGGUGAGUAACACGUGGGUAACCUACCUAUAAGACUGGGAUAACUUCGGGAAACCGGAGCUAAUACCGGAUAACAUUUGGAACCGCAUGGUUCUAAAGUGAAAGAUGGUUUUGCUAUCACUUAUAGAUGGACCCGCGCCGUAUUAGCUAGUUGGUAAGGUAACGGCUUACCAAGGCGACGAUACGUAGCCGACCUGAGAGGGUGAUCGGCCACACUGGAACUGAGACACGGUCCAGACUCCUACGGGAGGCAGCAGUAGGGAAUCUUCCGCAAUGGGCGAAAGCCUGACGGAGCAACGCCGCGUGAGUGAUGAAGGGUUUCGGCUCGUAAAACUCUGUUAUUAGGGAAGAACAAAUGUGUAAGUAACUGUGCACGUCUUGACGGUACCUAAUCAGAAAGCCACGGCUAACUACGUGCCAGCAGCCGCGGUAAUACGUAGGUGGCAAGCGUUAUCCGGAAUUAUUGGGCGUAAAGCGCGCGUAGGCGGUUUCUUAAGUCUGAUGUGAAAGCCCACGGCUCAACCGUGGAGGGUCAUUGGAAACUGGGAAACUUGAGUGCAGAAGAGGAAAGUGGAAUUCCAUGUGUAGCGGUGAAAUGCGCAGAGAUAUGGAGGAACACCAGUGGCGAAGGCGACUUUCUGGUCUGUAACUGACGCUGAUGUGCGAAAGCGUGGGGAUCAAACAGGAUUAGAUACCCUGGUAGUCCACGCCGUAAACGAUGAGUGCUAAGUGUUAGGGGGUUUCCGCCCCUUAGUGCUGCAGCUAACGCAUUAAG
This 826-nucleotide ribosomal RNA is filed under the name Staphylococcus sp. RNAcentral describes it as "bacterial SSU rRNA". It matches the Rfam family "Bacterial small subunit ribosomal RNA", at positions 57 to 864 of the family's 1533-position model. The record is from RNAcentral. Lineage: Bacteria; Bacillati; Bacillota; Bacilli; Caryophanales; Staphylococcaceae.